Molecule: ribosomal RNA, 445 nt
Filed under: uncultured bacterium
Lineage: Bacteria
Description: partial 16S ribosomal RNA
Rfam family: Bacterial small subunit ribosomal RNA
Source: RNAcentral
GUGAGGAAUAUUGGUCAAUGGACGGAAGUCUGAACCAGCCAAGUAGCGUGCAGGAUGACGGCCCUAUGGGUUGUAAACUGCUUUUAUGCGGGGGUAAAGUGAGUGACGUGUCAUUCAUUGCAAGUACCGCAAGAAUAAGGACCGGCUAAUUCCGUGCCAGCAGCCGCGGUAAUACGGAAGGUCCUGGUGUUAUCCGGAGUUAUUGGGUUUAAAGGGAGGGUAGGCCGUCAGGCAAGCGUUUUGUGAAAUGUCGUGGCUCAACCAUGGACUUGCAGCGCGAACUGCCCGACUUGAGUGCGCAGAAAGCAGGCGGAAUUUGUGGUGUAGCGGUGAAAUGCUUAGAUAUCACGAAGAACCCCGAUUGCGAAGGCAGCCUGCUGUAGCGCUACUGACGCUGAAGCUCGAAAGUGCGGGUAUCGAACAGGAUUAGAUACCCGUGUAGUCC